Molecule: long non-coding RNA, 385 nt
Filed under: Actinidia chinensis (golden kiwifruit)
Lineage: Eukaryota; Viridiplantae; Streptophyta; Magnoliopsida; Ericales; Actinidiaceae
Description: long non-coding RNA (ACHI_LNC003653)
Source: RNAcentral
CAGAAAAUCUAUGAUGAACGAAAAUUACUUGAUCUGACUUGUAUUUGAAAGACAAGUCUGAUUCGAUCGUAUAAUUAUCGAUAAACCUAAUUUAUACAUUAAUGAUUUAGUUAUCAAAUUCUAAAAGAUAAACGGUUCAUAUCAACCAAAACAGGUUUGGGGUGGACCCACAACCCGCGAAUUUUACGGUUAACAUUUUCCAAACAGUGGCUGUGUACCACGUGUAUUACACAAUAGUGCAGGGUUGAUUAAUAUGUCUCUUGUCACACUGGAUUCUAGCCCAGGUCGUUCAGCUAUUGAAUUGACUUGGCUUUAUAAAUGUUGAGUAAGCUGUUUAAAGUUUAAACACUGUAAGGUAAACGUGCGGCCGCCAUGAGAGGAAAAA